RNAcentral lists this long non-coding RNA (884 nucleotides) under Brachypodium distachyon (stiff brome). RNAcentral's name for it is "long non-coding RNA (BDIS_LNC000650)". The record is from RNAcentral. Lineage: Eukaryota; Viridiplantae; Streptophyta; Magnoliopsida; Poales; Poaceae.
UGGGCUGGCACCGGGCUGUACAGGCUGGGCUGAAGUUCCGCUUGGGCUGCAGGUUGGCCGAGAUGGCCUAGGCGGGCAGAUUAGGCUGGGUCUCGGCCCGGCAGGAGGUAAGGCUUCCCUUUUUUUUCUUUUUUUUUCUCCUUUUUUUCUUAGGCAGAUCGUGAGGGAGGGCUCUCGGUCAGGAUGGAGCUGGGCUAGGUCGUCCAGAUGGGCUAGAUAGGGAAUUGAGAGGCCUAGUAGGGAAAAAAAGAAAGUGUGCUGGUCUGCUGGGCCUACGUGUCAGAGAGGUGAGAAUUGGGCUGAGUUUUUUUUUUGGCACAACGGUCCAGAGAAAAAAAAAAGCUUUUCUUUUUAAGUACAGGCUGAAACUAAACAAAAUUCAAAUUUAGAAUGGAAGACAAAUUUGCAGAUGGAACAAGUAACAUGUAAUAUUCAAGGUAUUGAAAGUUGUACAACACUUAUUUCACACAAGGGCUCAUCAUGCAACAUGUUAAAUGGAGUUUAACGUAAGUACCCUCUUUUGGCCAAACUAGCAAGAAAAAUCAUCAUAUUGUCUCCAAAUUUCGUGCAUUCGUUCUUUGAUAUGAUGAGGUGAGACUUGGAGAAAAUUUCGCUAAUUCCAUGCGGAAAACAUAUUUCCCCAUUUUUCAGAUGGCCGGGAGAGCGAUUUCUCUGUGAAGCAACAUGCCCAGGCUGCACUCAUUUUGCAUCCAUAUGUUAUCAUACAUGUGUUCCACCAGAUUUAAUGGGUCUUUGAGGAAUUCCAAGGAUUUUCACGGUGUUUAUCUAUUUUCUAGCAUUUAGUUGCAUUUCACGACAUUUAAUGGCCAGAAAAAGAAAUUAUAGCAUAGCAACAUAAAAUUUCACUCAAAUAUUUAUUGGGG